Dreissena polymorpha is the source of this 567-nucleotide long non-coding RNA. RefSeq lists it as uncharacterized. The record is from RefSeq and is a predicted model, not a curated record. The transcript has 3 exons. NCBI's taxonomy places the organism in Eukaryota, Metazoa, Mollusca, Bivalvia, Myida, Dreissenidae.
CCAAAGUGUGUCCAAAGGAUGUCCAUGUAAAACUGUCUAUGCGAUGGACGAGACCGUAACUUUUAUUUUUGCAAGUGUCUGUGAAAGUUUGAGCGUCUAUAUUUGAGGCAAUCAGAAGCCUGUUUAUAAAAAAAACGAGCCAAUGAACACCAGGCUUUCUAAUCGACGCAUGCGCGUGCACCCGCUUGUUGGACAUGUGCAGUGGGACUGUCAAACGUUGUUUAUCAUAAUGGAUAGCGGAUUUAUAUUUUAUAGAACCAUAUGUGAGUGGCUUUACAGAAACAACCAAAGAACUUGGAGACCUUCUUAAAUGAUGUAGAGUUUGCACUGAAGGAGGGGUUCUUAAAGGAUGUAGGUCAAGAUACAUCACCCACAGCCAGUAAAUAGGUGUGCUCAUCAACAGGUCAAGAUACAUCGCCCACAGCUGGUCAAGAGGUGUGCUCAUCGGCAGGUCAAGAUCACCCCCAGCUAGUCAAGAUGUUUGGCCAUCAGCACAUAAAGAUACAUGAUCCCCUACAGCCAUUCAAGAGUUUUGCUCAUCAGAACGUCAAGAUACAUCACACACAG